GAGAGAGGCUUGUAGCAAUGAAAACUGCUAAUUUUCAUCCCCUCGGUUAAAAUCCGAAGCUCCCUCG
Molecule: transfer RNA, 67 nt
Filed under: Kurtus gulliveri (nurseryfish)
Lineage: Eukaryota; Metazoa; Chordata; Actinopteri; Kurtiformes; Kurtidae
Description: tRNA-Ser
Source: RNAcentral